CGAUAAGUUUAUUUGAAAGCUGCUAACUUUUAAUAUAGCGAUUAGCUACUUUGUAAU
RNAcentral lists this transfer RNA (57 nucleotides) under Wadicosa fidelis. RNAcentral describes it as "tRNA-Ser". The record is from RNAcentral. Lineage: Eukaryota; Metazoa; Arthropoda; Arachnida; Araneae; Lycosidae.